Asterophora parasitica is the source of this 81-nucleotide non-coding RNA. NCBI's taxonomy places the organism in Eukaryota, Fungi, Basidiomycota, Agaricomycetes, Agaricales, Lyophyllaceae. The record is from the annotation of a GenBank genome assembly.
UCGGGUAUGGUGUAACGGCUAACAUUGCCGCCUCUCAAUCAUCGUGCGCGGCAGCUCGGGGUUCGAUUCCCCGUACCCGAA